GAGUUUGAUCCUGGCUCAGAACGAACGCUGGCGGCAUGCCUAACACAUGCAAGUCGAACGUGAUCCGGGGCUUGCUCCGGUGAAAGUGGCGGACGGGUGAGUAACGCGUGGGAACCUGCCCAGUGGUCGGGGAUAACUGCGGGAAACUGCAGCUAAUACCCGGUAAGCCCCGAUGGGGGAAAGAUUUAUCGCCAUUGGAGGGGCCCGCGUCGGAUUAGGUAGUUGGUGGGGUAAUGGCCUACCAAGCCUACGAUCCGUAAGCUGGUCUGAGAGGAUGAUCAGCCACACUGGGACUGAGAUACGGCCCAGACUCCUACGGGAGGCAGCAGUGGGGAAUAUUGGACAAUGGGCGCAAGCCUGAUCCAGCAAUGCCGCGUGAGUGAAGAAGGGCCUUAGGGUUGUAAAGCUCUUUCGGCGGGACGAUGAUGACGGUACCCGCAGAGAAGCCCGGCUAACUCCGUGCCAGCAGCCGCCGCCGU
RNAcentral lists this ribosomal RNA (479 nucleotides) under uncultured Alphaproteobacteria bacterium. RNAcentral's name for it is "bacterial SSU rRNA". It matches the Rfam family "Bacterial small subunit ribosomal RNA", at positions 9 to 524 of the family's 1533-position model. Lineage: Bacteria; Pseudomonadati; Pseudomonadota; Alphaproteobacteria. The record is from RNAcentral.